Molecule: ribosomal RNA, 467 nt
Filed under: uncultured bacterium
Lineage: Bacteria
Description: partial 16S ribosomal RNA
Rfam family: Bacterial small subunit ribosomal RNA
Source: RNAcentral
GACGAACGCUGGCGGCGUGCUUAACACAUGCAAGUCGAACGGAAAGGCCCUGCUUUUGUGGGGUGCUCGAGUGGCGAACGGGUGAGUAACACGUGAGUAACCUGCCCUUGACUUUGGGAUAACUUCAGGAAACUGGGGCUAAUACCGGAUAGGAGCUCCUGCUGCAUGGUGGGGGUUGGAAAGUUUCGGCGGUUGGGGAUGGACUCGCGGCUUAUCAGCUUGUUGGUGGGGUAGUGGCUUACCAAGGCUUUGACGGGUAGCCGGCCUGAGAGGGUGACCGGCCACAUUGGGACUGAGAUACGGCCCAGACUCCUACGGGAGGAAGCAGUGGGGAAUAUUGCACAAUGGGCGGAAGCCUGAUGCAGCAACGCCGCGUGCGGGAUGACGGCCUUCGGGUGGUAAACCGCUUUCGCCUGUGACGAAGCGUGAGUGACGGUAAUGGGUAAAGAAGCACCGGCUAACUACGU